CGGCGGACGGGUGAGUAACACGUGGGCAACCUGCCCUGCAGAUCGGGAUAACUCCGGGAAACCGGUGCUAAUACCGAAUAGUUUUGGGUCCCUCCUGGGACCCAACGGAAAGACGGUUUCGGCUGUCACUGCAGGAUGGGCCCGCGGCGCAUUAGCUAGUUGGUGGGGUAACGGCCCACCAAGGGCACGAUGCGUAGCCGACCUGAGAGGGUGAUCGGCCACACUGGGACUGAGACACGGCCCAGACUCCUACGGGAGGCAGCAGUAGGGAAUCUUCCGCAAUGGACGCAAGUCUGACGGAGCAACGCCGCGUGAGUGAUGAAGGUUUUCGGAUCGUAAAACUUUGUUGCGAGGGAAGAAACCGUGCCAACUAACUA
This 377-nucleotide ribosomal RNA is filed under the name Planomicrobium sp. IAM11B. RNAcentral's name for it is "bacterial SSU rRNA". It matches the Rfam family "Bacterial small subunit ribosomal RNA", at positions 96 to 466 of the family's 1533-position model. Lineage: Bacteria; Bacillati; Bacillota; Bacilli; Caryophanales; Caryophanaceae. The record is from RNAcentral.